GGGAUUGCCUCAGUAACGGCGAGUGAAGCGGCAACAGCUCAAAUUUGAAAUCUGGGGCCUUCGGCUCCCGAGUUGUAAUUUGUAGAGGAUGCCUCGGGGGGUGCUUCGGCCCAAGUUCCUUGGAACAGGAUACCACAGAGGGUGAGAGUCCCGUAUCCGGCCGGCAGUACCCUCCGCGCGAGGCUCCUUCGACGAGUCGAGUUGUUUGGGAAUGCAGCUCUAAGCGGGUGGUAAAUUCCAUCUAAAGCUAAAUACUGGCCAGAGACCGAUAGCGAACAAGUAGAGUGAUCGAAAGAUGAAAAGCACUUUGAAAAGAGAGUCAAACAGUACGUGAAAUUGUUGAAAGGGAAGCGUAUGGGGGCAGACUUGGCCGCGGGGUUCAGGGUGUCUUUUGGCGCCUGUACUUCCCCGUGGGCAGGCCAGCAUCGGUUUUGGGGGUUGGAUAAAGGCGUCGGGAAUGUGGCUCCCCUCGGUGAGUGUUAUAGCCCGUCGCGCAAUGCAGCCACCCGGGAUCGAGGACCGCGCUUCGGCAAGGAUGCUGGCGUAAUGGCCUCAUACGGCCCGUCUUGAAACACGGACCAAGGAGUCUAACAUCUAUGCGAGUGUUUGGGUGUCAAGCCCGAGCGCGCAAUGAAAGUGAACGGAGGUGGGAGCCCGUAAAAAGGCGCACCAUCGACCGAUCCUGACGUCUUCUGAGGGAUUUGAGUAAGAGCAUAGCUGUUGGGACCCGAAAGAUGGUGAACUAUGCGUGAAUAGGGUGAAGCCAGAGGAAACUCUGGUGGAGGCUCGCAGCGG
Molecule: ribosomal RNA, 795 nt
Filed under: Scolecobasidium cordanae
Lineage: Eukaryota; Fungi; Ascomycota; Dothideomycetes; Venturiales; Sympoventuriaceae
Description: eukaryotic LSU rRNA
Rfam family: Eukaryotic large subunit ribosomal RNA
Source: RNAcentral